Long non-coding RNA from Bos taurus (domestic cattle), 685 nucleotides. The record is from Ensembl. NCBI's taxonomy places the organism in Eukaryota, Metazoa, Chordata, Mammalia, Artiodactyla, Bovidae.
UUUCUCAGCAAAUAACCUAAAUUCAUAAUGGUCCUGGAGGUACCAAGUGGAAAAAAAAAUACGUAGUUUCCCUCCAUACGUGACAAAACUAUUCCAAAAUAGCCAAAUGGUCUAGAGAAACGGCUUUAUUCUUACCCAUCCUGCUUUGGAAAAGUUGACAAUGAGGGUGCAUUAAAAAUACCGAGUGGAGAGAGCUCUUGGAUCUGGCUUCUCAAGCUGGGAAACAUUAAAAGUUUUGAAACUCUGGGAUCCACGGCUAUUAAAGAAAUAUCUAAAUUCUAAAUAUUCCUCUCCCAGGGCUUCUUUGGUAUCCUGCCUAGUCAACAGCAGAAGGUUCUCAGAGAGACAAAUAAUAUGCACAACUUUUUUUAGUCCGCUUAUGAUAAUUAUCUCAAAUUAACAUCACAAGGCAGUGAAAAUUACAUUCCCCAAAGGCUUCCUACUGCAGGAAGUUACUCUGCUCCUUUCUGCACAGAACAGGACACUGUGGCUGAUCAUCUUAAUCCCAGUUGGAGUUCUGAAACCUGUUGCCUGCCUGGUUGCCUUUGACUAUGGGGUUGCACAGAGUCAGACACGACUGAAGUAACUUAGCAGCAGCAGCAGCAGCAGCACAUAAGGAAUGGGGACAGAAAAGCAUGAGAGGCAGUUUGAAACAUGGCCUUGGCACCAAUGCUUUCCAGACUUG